CUUACUGUCCCCUAUCCACUGUUUCCUUCUUCGCCUGUCAGCUGCUUUGGCCUGCCAUUAAUUUCACCAACUCCCUGCUGUCAUUCUCUGGUUUUCUCAUUCUUCGGCAUGGGGUGUAUGUACAUACAUACGUAUAAAACUAACCUAACCAGCAGUGUAAUGCCUUUGUAUUGUUCACGCAAAUUUUAUUUCCGCUGCGUCAUGAACAUCAUAAUGUCGUCGUAGCUGUACUCGCCCUCCCAACAAUUCAGCUUGAGCCUUUAGUCCUUUAGUAAUCC
Molecule: long non-coding RNA, 278 nt
Filed under: Drosophila guanche
Lineage: Eukaryota; Metazoa; Arthropoda; Insecta; Diptera; Drosophilidae
Source: RNAcentral